UACGUAGGGGGCGAGCGUUGUCCGGAAUUACUGGGCGUAAAGGGUGCGUAGGCGGAACCGCAAGUCAGAUGUGAAAUACCCGGGCUUAACCCGGGGGCUGCAUUUGAAACUGCGGUCCUUGAGUGCAGGAGAGGCAAGUGGAAUUCCUAGUGUAGCGGUGAAAUGCGUAGAUAUUAGGAGGAACACCAGUGGCGAAGGCGACUUGCUGGACUGUAACUGACGCUGAGGCACGAAAGCGUGGGGAGCAGAC
RNAcentral lists this ribosomal RNA (250 nucleotides) under uncultured prokaryote. RNAcentral's name for it is "partial 16S ribosomal RNA". It matches the Rfam family "Bacterial small subunit ribosomal RNA", at positions 524 to 773 of the family's 1533-position model. The record is from RNAcentral.